GAUGAACGCUAGCGGCAGGCUUAACACAUGCAAGUCGAGGGGUAACAUUGUAGCUUGCUACAGAUGACGACCGGCGAACGGGUGCGUAACGCGUAUAGAAUCUGCCUUGUACAGGAGGAUAGCCUUUAGAAAUGAAGAUUAAUACUCCAUAAUACUGAGAUGCGGCAUCGCAAUUUAGUUAAACAUUUAUGGGUACAAGAUGACUAUGCGUCCUAUUAGCUAGAUGGUAAGGUAACGGCUUACCAUGGCGACGAUAGGUAGGGGGUCUGAGAGGAUUAUCCCCCACACUGGUACUGAGACACGGACCAGACUCCUACGGGAGGCAGCAGUGAGGAAUAUUGGUCAAUGGAGGCAACUCUGAACCAGCCAUGCCGCGUGCAGGAAGACUGCCCCUAUGGGUUGUAAACUGCUUUUAUACAGGAAGAAACAGUCGUACGUGUACGGCCUUGACGGUACUGUAAGAUAAGGACCGGCUAACUCCGUGCCAGC
This 489-nucleotide ribosomal RNA is filed under the name uncultured bacterium. RNAcentral's name for it is "bacterial SSU rRNA". It matches the Rfam family "Bacterial small subunit ribosomal RNA", at positions 28 to 512 of the family's 1533-position model. The record is from RNAcentral.